AGUCAAUAACAUAACAUUAAUUUAGUGUUCUAAAACAAAAACUAAGAACUACUUGGUGGAUUACCGGACGGAUUGAUUUGUUUCAUAAAGGCUGCCAAUUGUCGUUGCACUUGCAAUUCCAUUUCAUUUCGCAUUUGUUGCAUUUGCAAAUUCAUUUCACUUUGCUUUUCAUCCAUGGCUUGUUGCAUGUUUGACACUUGUUGUCGCAACUCAUUUACCUAAAUAUAGCAAGACAAACACAUGCAGUUAGUAAAUGUAAUUCAACUUUAAACCAUGAUAGCAAUGUACUUUACUUUUAAUUUCAUCUAUAAUUAAUCAAAGAAGGAUAAAAUUUUCAAUUAAUACAUGAAUAUUAGAAUAAUACUAAAUUCAUAGAAUGAAUAUUUGGAAUUGAGUGUCCUCUUAGUAUCAAUUCUUUUGAAACUAAAUAGUAGUAGCCUACAUAUAAUCUGUUGAUGAAAUUGUAGACUUGGUUGAAACUAAAUGACAUUAAUUUUGACAAAACCAAUUUUGAAAACAUUAAAAGAUUAGCAUUAUAAAAUGAAUCAUUUACAUCAAAAACUAAAAGCUAAAAAAAAAAUAUUUGAGUAAUUUAUGGUAGCCAAAAAUAGAUGCACAUGCUACUGAUGCAUGAUUCUCCCAAAAGAAAAGGACAUUGACAAGCAUUAACACAUACAUGAAUGAUAUUAGUUUCCUAAGCAUUUGUAGGCAUUUAUGAUGAAGUCGGUUUCAUUUGCUAGUUAUUACGGGGGUAGUAUUUUCUUGAGAAUCUCUUGUGGAUAUAUAAUAUAACAAGUAUUAAGAUACGGCUUACUUUUUGUUGGUUAGUCUUAUGAAUGCCAUCUUCUAUAAAACAAAACGUUUAUGCUUUUAGGAAGAACUAUGUACAUAUUUAUAUUCCCUGAAACUAGAAAGCUAUGUUAGUCUUUUAAAGCAUGCCAAUCUUUCAACAAAAAGUCAAACAAAAAACAAUAUAACCUACCACAAUAUAAAGUAUAUACUAAUACACAUCUAUUAGAAAGGUCUAGAGCAUCAAGGGUAAAAUCGUCCAAAUAGGCAAAAUUUCAAAGAUUUACAAGGGAGACACAUUUUCAAAUCCAAACAACCAAAACUGAGGCUAACAGGAAAAUUCCGUCCCAAAUAGGAGAAUACUUCCAUUACAGAUCUUGGACAGGGUCACAGAAUUCAGAAGAGGAAAGGGUAUCUAAUUUGGAUCUUAACUUGAGCUCUGCACAUGGACAAGUUACAACUAUUGCUGCAAAACUGCUGCAUACUGAUGAUUCAAGUUCUAUGGGUCUAAAUUAGUGAAAUCUACUGCAAUGGAGAAGUUACAAGUAUGGAAAGCAAAGCUGAAAAAGACACUUGAAAUCACAAAAACUGAAAUUGAUUCUCCAGGGGCAAAAUUUGUGAAAUGUGAGCAAACUGAAAUCGACAUACAUACAUACCUGGGGUGUCGCUGAUGGUGGUGUGAGCAGUGACGGUUGUAGUAUGGUGCAGCGAUGGUGGUGGUACGGGGCAACAUCGGCGGUGGUGUGCGACAGCGACGUUGGAGGGCAAACCUGCAACCGUUUUGGUCAAUGUGGGUCGCCGAUAUGAGCUGAAAUCAGAGUUCGGAAAUCACAAAACUCGAAUUGGUUGCUUGAAAUCAGUCGAGAAUCACCGGUGGAUGUGUGCUGCAGCAGGGGUUCCGAAAUCGCCAAGCAAGGGUUUUAUUUGGGUAACAAAAAAAAUGGUCAUUCCUACAUUGUGAAAAUGUGCUUCGAAAUCGUACCUGGGGUGUCGCCGCUGGUAGUGUGGGGCAGCGACGGUGGUGGUAUGGUGCAGCGACGGUGGUGAUACGGGGCAGCGUCGGCGGUGGUGUGCGACAACGAUGGUUGGUUGGCAAACCUGCAACAGUUUGGUCAAUGUGGGUCGCCGAUCGAUUGUUUGGAAAUCAUAGAAGUCGAAUAGGUUACCAAAAAAUGUCGCCGAUGUACGUAUCAGUCGAGAAUCACCGGCGGAUGUGUGCUGGUUCGGAAAUUGCCAAUCGCUGGUGUAAGCUAGGGCUUUGUUUGCGACGAGCUAGUUACGAAUAGUGAAGCGGGAAACAAUUUGGGUUUUAGGAGGCGUAGCAAAUCGGUAGCAUAUGGAAAUCGUAGGAAUUUCGUAGGUAUAAACAAAUUGGGAAAUUGAUGUAUAAUAUUAUAAUUAAAUAUAAU
RNAcentral lists this long non-coding RNA (2198 nucleotides) under Lactuca sativa (garden lettuce). Its description in RNAcentral is "long non-coding RNA (LSAT_LNC003841)". The record is from RNAcentral. Lineage: Eukaryota; Viridiplantae; Streptophyta; Magnoliopsida; Asterales; Asteraceae.